RNAcentral lists this ribosomal RNA (584 nucleotides) under uncultured cyanobacterium. RNAcentral's name for it is "bacterial SSU rRNA". It matches the Rfam family "Bacterial small subunit ribosomal RNA", at positions 1 to 634 of the family's 1533-position model. Lineage: Bacteria; Bacillati; Cyanobacteriota. The record is from RNAcentral.
GCUUAGAGUUUGAUCCUGGCUCAGGAUGAACGCUGGCGGCGUGCUUAACACAUGCAAGUCGAACGGUCUCUUCGGAGAUAGUGGCGGACGGGUGAGUAACGCGUGAGAAUCUGCCUUUAGGUUCGGGACAACAGUUGGAAACGACUGCUAAUACCGAAUGUGUCGCAAGAUGAAAGAUUUAUUGCCUAAAGAUGAGCUCGCGUCUGAUUAGCUAGUUGGUGGGGUAAAAGCGUACCAAGGCGACGAUCAGUAGCUGGUCUGAGAGGAUGAUCAGCCACACUGGGACUGAGACACGGCCCAGACUCCUACGGGAGGCAGCAGUGGGGAAUUUUCCGCAAUGGGCGAAAGCCUGACGGAGCAACGCCGCGUGAGGGAGGAAGGCUUUUGGGUUGUAAACCUCUUUUCUCAAGGAAGAUAAUGACGGUACUUGAGGAAUCAUCAUCGGCUAACUCCGUGCCAGCAGCCGCGGCAAUACGGAGGAUGCAAGCGUUAUCCGGAAUAAUUGGGCGUACAGCGUUCGUAGAUGGUUUUUGCAAGUCUGCUGGUAAAGCGUGUAGCUUAACUACAUAAUGGCGGUGGAAACU